GGAAAUCAUGUCCAUAUUUUAUUCUUCGUUUGAGGUAGAGGUGAAUUACCUAUUCGGCACUAUCUAAUAAACAUUUCUGAGUAUCCCUUGACGGAGGGUAAAUUGCUUCUUGCUCACCCGCGCAAAACACGGGACACGCGUCUUCUUCUUUGCAGUUAUUACGUUCAUGCUCCCUAGCACGAUUUUCGAUAUUUUGUCGCCUUUUUGAUGAUGAUGACGAAUGGAUAAUUUCACUCCGAGGUCCAAUCGACAGUGAUCCAAGUAGACUGCACACAAUGCAAAAACGCAACCGUUGGCUGGUAAGAGGACACUCAACAUUGACUAUUAUAUGGAAUUAUUAGACCAUUUGAAAAACAAAAUCGCCAAGAAAUGCACGCAGUUAAAAAUUAAGAAAGUGUCCGUUUUAUUAAGAUAAUGCACCAUGUCACAAGUCAUUGAAAUCGAUGGCAAAAAUGCAUAAACUUGGCUUCGAUCUGGCACCCAACGACUAUUACCUGUUCUCAGAUUUCAAUACUGGCUGGGAAGAAAUUUUUGUCGAAUAAAGACGUAAUCGUCAAAACUGAGGUCUAUUAUGAA
This is a long non-coding RNA of Drosophila teissieri, 576 nucleotides long. RefSeq lists it as uncharacterized. The transcript is spliced from 2 exons. The record is from RefSeq and is a predicted model, not a curated record. Lineage: Eukaryota; Metazoa; Arthropoda; Insecta; Diptera; Drosophilidae.